AAUAGCGCAGGCACUGAACGGAGACAGCCGAUUCAGUAGACGAGGUAGAGGAGUAUCGAAACAUCAGCGGAUGCCUCUCGGCCGGCUUCAGUCGUUAUAUAAGUUACAAUGUCUAUCGGUGACGAUGAGAACAAAAG
RNAcentral lists this non-coding RNA (137 nucleotides) under Veillonella seminalis. Its description in RNAcentral is "glmS glucosamine-6-phosphate activated ribozyme". It matches the Rfam family "glmS glucosamine-6-phosphate activated ribozyme aptamer", at positions 9 to 150 of the family's 167-position model. Rfam says of the family: This entry contains a glucosamine-6-phosphate activated ribozyme that is found in the mRNA for GlmS. GlmS is an enzyme that uses fructose-6-phosphate and glutamine to generate glucosamine-6-phosphate. The ribozyme catalyses self cleavage of the glmS mRNA that is thought to regulate GlmS activity. The record is from RNAcentral. Lineage: Bacteria; Bacillati; Bacillota; Negativicutes; Veillonellales; Veillonellaceae.